UAGUGAGUUUGAUCCUGGCUCAGGAUGAACGCUGGCGGCGUGCUUAACACAUGCAAGUCGAACGAUGAUCCGGUGCUUGCACCGGGGAUUAGUGGCGAACGGGUGAGUAACACGUGAGUAACCUGCCCCUGACUCUGGAAUAAGCGCUGGAAACGGCGUCUAAUACCGGAUACGAGACGCCACCGCAUGGUGAGUGUCUGGAAAGUUUUUCGGUCUGGGAUGGACUCGCGGCCUAUCAGCUUGUUGGU
Molecule: ribosomal RNA, 248 nt
Filed under: uncultured Micrococcineae bacterium
Lineage: Bacteria; Bacillati; Actinomycetota; Actinomycetes; Micrococcales
Description: partial 16S ribosomal RNA
Rfam family: Bacterial small subunit ribosomal RNA
Source: RNAcentral